RNAcentral lists this unclassified non-coding RNA (421 nucleotides) under Hevea brasiliensis (rubber tree). The record is from RNAcentral. Lineage: Eukaryota; Viridiplantae; Streptophyta; Magnoliopsida; Malpighiales; Euphorbiaceae.
GUUUUUUGUUACGUAUGUAUCAGUCAUGAGUCAGGAGGGAUAUGGUGAACUGAUGGCCUGGCCUCAGGCAAAUCCGUCGAUGAAACAUUCAAAUUCAGGAUAUGAAGGAACUACACGACAAGAAUGCGAUGAGGAGGCAGAGGGGCUGCAAAGCAAAGAAAGUUGGGCUUAUGUAAACGUGAACAUGGAUGGGGUAGUUGUCGGCAGGAAAAUUUGCAUGCUAGAUCAUGGUGGUUACUCCUGCCUCGCAGUUCAACUAGAAGACAUGUUUGGGCAAAAUACUUAGCCUUGGGAGCGUGACAUUUUUCUGACUAUAAAAUUAAAUAAAAUGAUUCAAGAUUCAUUAAUUGUUUUAGGAAGACAUUCUGCAACUGGGUUAAGGCUGUUCCAGCCAGGGUCUGAAUUCUGCUUGUUUUAUAAG